GACGAACGCUGGCGGCGCGCCUAACACAUGCAAGUCGAACGGAGUCACGAGGAGCUUGCUUUUCUUGACUUAGUGGCGAACGGGUGAGUAACGCGUGAGUAACCUGCCCUGGAGUGGGGGACAACAGUUGGAAACGACUGCUAAUACCGCAUAAGCCCACGGAUCUGCAUGGAUCUGCGGGAAAAGGAUUUAUUCGCUCUAGGAUGGACUCGCGUCCAAUUAGCUAGUUGGUGAGGUAACGGCCCACCAAGGCGACGAUUGGUAGCCGGACUGAGAGGUUGAACGGCCACAUUGGGACUGAGACACGGCCCAGACUCCUACGGGAGGCAGCAGUGGGGGAUAUUGCACAAUGGGGGAAAUCCUGAUGCAGCGACGCCGCGUGGAGGAAGAAGGUUUUCGGAUUGUAAACUCCUGUCGUUAGGGACGAUAAUGACGGUACCUAACAAGAAAGCACCAGCUAACUACGUG
RNAcentral lists this ribosomal RNA (468 nucleotides) under uncultured bacterium. Its description in RNAcentral is "partial 16S ribosomal RNA". It matches the Rfam family "Bacterial small subunit ribosomal RNA", at positions 28 to 507 of the family's 1533-position model. The record is from RNAcentral.